GAUGAACGCUGGCGGCGUGCCUAAUACAUGCAAGUCGAGCGAACAGAUAAGGAGCUUGCUCCUUUGACGUUAGCGGCGGACGGGUGGGUAACACGUGGAUAACCUACCUAUAAGACUGGGAUAACUUCGGGAAACCGGAGCUAAUACCGGAUAACAUAUUGAACCGCAUGGUUCAAUAGUGAAAGGCGGCUUUGCUGUCACUUAUAGAUGGAUCCGCGCCGUAUUAGCUAGUUGGUAAGGUAACGGCUUACCAAGGCAACGAUACGUAGCCGACCUGAGAGGGGGAACGGGCAAAAUGGAACUGGGAAAAGGUCCAGACUCCUAAGGGAAGCAGCAGGAGGGAAUCUUCAGCAAUGGGGGAAAGCCUGAAGGAGCAAAGCCGCGUGAGUGAUGAAGGUCUUCGGAUCGUAAAACUCUGUUAUCAGGGAAGAACAAAUGUGUAAGUAACUGUGCACAUCUUGACGGUACCUGAUCAGAAAGCCACGGCUAACUACGUG
Molecule: ribosomal RNA, 497 nt
Filed under: uncultured bacterium
Lineage: Bacteria
Description: partial 16S ribosomal RNA
Rfam family: Bacterial small subunit ribosomal RNA
Source: RNAcentral